UGAUGAGAGCACAAAAGUGCGAUCUAAGUACCAAUUAACUUAGCCUAAUGCUAGCAAAAUAAUGAUAAAUAAUAGGUGUUAACAUUUACAUGAUUAAAUAUUUUAUCCUUAGCACUUAUUAUAAUUUUUAUCAUUAUGUAAAUUCAUCUCUUCCCAGCUGCAGAACAGAGCCCAGAUUCAGUCGUUCGCAAGCACCUCAGCAUCCUUGCCGCGUCCGUGAGCCGCAUCAACCCUCUCAAGAUCCGCCUGCGUCUCAGG
RNAcentral lists this long non-coding RNA (258 nucleotides) under Phoenix dactylifera (date palm). RNAcentral describes it as "long non-coding RNA (PDAC_LNC005310)". The record is from RNAcentral. Lineage: Eukaryota; Viridiplantae; Streptophyta; Magnoliopsida; Arecales; Arecaceae.